AGUGGGGCUUCGACCCUAACC
Molecule: microRNA, 21 nt
Filed under: Callithrix jacchus (white-tufted-ear marmoset)
Lineage: Eukaryota; Metazoa; Chordata; Mammalia; Primates; Cebidae
Also listed under: 5 other names
Description: Cja-Mir-1296_3p* (star (passenger))
Source: RNAcentral